UAAAACGACGUACAGUGGAUACUAGAACACUCUCCUUCUCCCCCAUAAAAGCUACAGAAUUUAUUUCCAAGCUGUUAGUAGAGCCAAUGGAGAAACCAAAAUAGACUGUGUCUGAGUGGCC
Ceratotherium simum simum (southern white rhinoceros) is the source of this 121-nucleotide non-coding RNA. NCBI's taxonomy places the organism in Eukaryota, Metazoa, Chordata, Mammalia, Perissodactyla, Rhinocerotidae. The record is from RefSeq and is a predicted model, not a curated record.